RNAcentral lists this ribosomal RNA (292 nucleotides) under Bacillus sp. PR4.2. RNAcentral describes it as "partial 16S ribosomal RNA". It matches the Rfam family "Bacterial small subunit ribosomal RNA", at positions 88 to 357 of the family's 1533-position model. The record is from RNAcentral. Lineage: Bacteria; Bacillati; Bacillota; Bacilli; Caryophanales; Bacillaceae.
UGAUGUAGCGGCGGACGGGUGAGUAACACGUGGGUAACCUGCCUGUAAGACUGGGAUAACUCCGGGAAACCGGGGCUAAUACCGGAUGCUUGAUUGAACCGCAUGGUUCAAUUAUAAAAGGUGGCUUUUAGCUACCACUUACAGAUGGACCCGCGGCGCAUUAGCUAGUUGGUGAGGUAACGGCUCACCAAGGCGACGAUGCGUAGCCGACCUGAGAGGGUGAUCGGCCACACUGGGACUGAGACACGGCCCAGACUCCUACGGGAGGCAGCAGUGGUCAUAGCUGGUUUCC